This 489-nucleotide ribosomal RNA is filed under the name uncultured bacterium. RNAcentral describes it as "partial 16S ribosomal RNA". It matches the Rfam family "Bacterial small subunit ribosomal RNA", at positions 30 to 507 of the family's 1533-position model. The record is from RNAcentral.
AUUGAACGCUGGCGGCAGGCCUAACACUUGCAAGUCGAACGGUAACAGGAAGCAGCUUGCUGCUUCGCUGACGAGUGGCGGACGGGUGAGUAAUGUCUGGGAAACUGCCUGAUGGAGGGGGAUAACUACUGGAAACGGUAGCUAAUACCGCAUAACGUCGCAAGACCAAGAGGGGGACCUUAGGGCCUCUUGCCAUCGGAUGUGCCCAGAUGGGAUUAGCUAGUAGGUGGGGUAACGGCUCACCUAGGCGACGAUCCCUAGCUGGUCUGAGAGGAUGACCAGCCACACUGGAACUGAGACACGGUCCAGACUCCUACGGGAGGCAGCAGUGGGGAAUGUUGCACAAUGGGCGCAAGCCUGAUGCAGCCAUGCCGCGUGUAUGAAGAAGGCCUUCGGGUUGUAAAGUACUUUCAGCGGGGAGGAAGGGAGUAAAGUUAAUACCUUUGCUCAUUGACGUUACCCGCAGAAGAAGCACCGGCUAACUCCGUG